UUAGAGUUUGAUCCUGGCUCAGAUUGAACGCUGGCGGCAUGCCUUACACAUGCAAGUCGAACGGCAGCACGGAGCUUGCUCUGGUGGCGAGUGGCGAACGGGUGAGUAAUAUAUCGGAACGUACCCUAGAGUGGGGGAUAACGUAGCGAAAGUUACGCUAAUACCGCAUACGAUCUAAGGAUGAAAGUGGGGGAUCGCAAGACCUCAUGCUCGUGGAGCGGCCGAUAUCUGAUUAGCUAGUUGGUAGGGUAAAAGCCUACCAAGGCAUCGAUCAGUAGCUGGUCUGAGAGGACGGCCAGCCACACUGGAACUGAGACACGGUCCAGACUCCUACGGGAGGCAGCAGUGGGGAAUUUUGGACAAUGGGCGAAAGCCUGAUCCAGCAAUGCCGCGUGAGUGAAGAAGGCCUUCGGGUUGUAAAGCUCUUUUGUCAGGGAAGAAACGGUGAAAGCUAAUAUCUUUUGCUAAUGACGGUACCUGAAGAAUAAGCACCGGCUAACUACGUGCCAGCAGCCGCGGUAAUACGUAGGGUGCAAGCGUUAAUCGGAAUUACUGGGCGUAAAGCGUGCGCAGGCGGUUUUGUAAGUCUGAUGUGAAAUCCCCGGGCUCAACCUGGGAAUUGCAUUGGAGACUGCAAGGCUAGAAUCUGGCAGAGGGGGGUAGAAUUCCACGUGUAGCAGUGAAAUGCGUAGAUAUGUGGAGGAACACCGAUGGCGAAGGCAGCCCCCUGGGUCAAGAUUGACGCUCAUGCACGAAAGCGUGGGGAGCAAACAGGAUUAGAUACCCUGGUAGUCCACGCCCUAAACGAUGUCUACUAGUUGUCGGGUCUUAAUUGACUUGGUAACGCAGCUAACGCGUGAAGUAGACCGCCUGGGGAGUACGGUCGCAAGAUUAAAACUCAAAGGAAUUGACGGGGACCCGCACAAGCGGUGGAUGAUGUGGAUUAAUUCGAUGCAACGCGAAAAACCUUACCUACCCUUGACAUGGCUGGAAUCCUUGAGAGAUCAGGGAGUGCUCGAAAGAGAGCCAGUACACAGGUGCUGCAUGGCUGUCGUCAGCUCGUGUCGUGAGAUGUUGGGUUAAGUCCCGCAACGAGCGCAACCCUUGUCAUUAGUUGCUACGAAAGGGCACUCUAAUGAGACUGCCGGUGACAAACCGGAGGAAGGUGGGGAUGACGUCAAGUCCUCAUGGCCCUUAUGGGUAGGGCUUCACACGUCAUACAAUGGUACAUACAGAGCGCCGCCAACCCGCGAGGGGGAGCUAAUCGCAGAAAGUGUAUCGUAGUCCGGAUUGUAGUCUGCAACUCGACUGCAUGAAGUUGGAAUCGCUAGUAAUCGCGGAUCAGCAUGUCGCGGUGAAUACGUUCCCGGGUCUUGUACACACCGCCCGUCACACCAUGGGAGCGGGUUUUACCAGAAGUAGGUAGCUUAACCGCAAGGAGGGCGCUUACCACGGUAGGAUUCGUGACUGGGGUGAAGUCGUAACAAGGUAACC
This 1494-nucleotide ribosomal RNA is filed under the name uncultured bacterium. RNAcentral describes it as "16S ribosomal RNA". It matches the Rfam family "Bacterial small subunit ribosomal RNA". The record is from RNAcentral.